GGCUCAGGAUGAACGCUAGCGGCAGGCUUAACACAUGCAAGUCGAGGGGUAUAUUUCUUCGGAGAUAGAGACCGGCGCACGGGUGCGUAACGCGUAUGCAAUCUACCUUUUACAGGGGAAUAGCCCAGAGAAAUUUGGAUUAAUGCCCCAUAGUAUAUAAGAAUCGCAUGGUUUUUAUAUUAAAGUUCCAACGGUAAAAGAUGAGCAUGCGUCCCAUUAGUUAGUUGGUAAGGUAACGGCUUACCAAGACUAUGAUGGGUAGGGGUCCUGAGAGGGAGAUCCCCCACACUGGUACUGAGACACGGACCAGACUCCUACGGGAGGCAGCAGUGAGGAAUAUUGGACAAUGGGCGCAAGCCUGAUCCAGCCAUGCCGCGUGCAGGAAGAAGCAUCUAUGGUGUGUAAACUGCUUUUGUACGGGAAGAAACACUCCUACGUGUAGGAGCUUGACGGUACCGUAAGAAUAAGGAUCGGCUAACUCCGUGCCAGCAGCCGCGGUAAUACGGGGGAUCCAAGCGUUAUCCGGAAUCAUUGGGUUUAAAGGGUCCGUAGGCGGUUUAAUAAGUCAGUGGUGAAAUCUGGUCGCUCAACGAUCAAACGGCCAUUGAUACUGUUAGACUUGAAUUACUAGGAAGUAACUAGAAUAUGUAGUGUAGCGGUGAAAUGCCUAGAUAUUACAUGGAAUACCAAUUGCGAAGGCAGGUUACUACUAGUGGAUUGACGCUGAUGGACGAAAGCGUGGGGAGCGAACAGGAUUAGAUACCCUGGUAGUCCACGCCGUAAACGAUGGAUACUAGCUGUUGGGCGCAAGUUCAGUGGCUAAGCGAAAGUGAUAAGUAUCCCACCUGGGGAGUACGUUCGCAAGAAUGAAACUCAAAGGAAUUGACGGGGGCCCGCACAAGCGGUGGAGC
RNAcentral lists this ribosomal RNA (911 nucleotides) under uncultured bacterium. Its description in RNAcentral is "bacterial SSU rRNA". It matches the Rfam family "Bacterial small subunit ribosomal RNA", at positions 21 to 938 of the family's 1533-position model. The record is from RNAcentral.